RNAcentral lists this long non-coding RNA (216 nucleotides) under Elaeis guineensis (African oil palm). RNAcentral describes it as "long non-coding RNA (EGUI_LNC052327)". Lineage: Eukaryota; Viridiplantae; Streptophyta; Magnoliopsida; Arecales; Arecaceae. The record is from RNAcentral.
GAGCACCCCCAACUCCGGUUUAGACUUUUCUUGCAGGUCCCGAUGGUAGAUGCGAUCUCCUUAACUCCAGCUUCUCCAACGUCGGCAGAAUUCUGCACCAACAGAAUUGGCGCUAGAGAAAGGGGCUGUGUCUUCGCAGUACCCGUGUUCUUAAAGGAGUACUCAACGUGACUGUCUUCAGUCAUCUUCUUUGACACUUUUUCCUUGUUCUCCUGC